This 2442-nucleotide ribosomal RNA is filed under the name Escherichia coli. Its description in RNAcentral is "partial 23S ribosomal RNA". It matches the Rfam family "Bacterial large subunit ribosomal RNA", at positions 418 to 2839 of the family's 2925-position model. The record is from RNAcentral. Lineage: Bacteria; Pseudomonadati; Pseudomonadota; Gammaproteobacteria; Enterobacterales; Enterobacteriaceae.
CGGGACACGUGGUAUCCUGUCUGAAUAUGGGGGGACCAUCCUCCAAGGCUAAAUACUCCUGACUGACCGAUAGUGAACCAGUACCGUGAGGGAAAGGCGAAAAGAACCCCGGCGAGGGGAGUGAAAAAGAACCUGAAACCGUGUACGUACAAGCAGUGGGAGCACAGAGCAAUCUGUGUGACUGCGUACCUUUUGUAUAAUGGGUCAGCGACUUAUAUUCUGUAGCAAGGUUAACCGAAUAGGGGAGCCGAAGGGAAACCGAGUCUUAACCGGGCGUUAAGUUGCAGGGUAUAGACCCGAAACCCGGUGAUCUAGCCAUGGGCAGGUUGAAGGUUGGGUAACACUAACUGGAGGACCGAACCGACUAAUGUUGAAAAAUUAGCGGAUGACUUGUGGCUGGGGGUGAAAGGCCAAUCAAACCGGGAGAUAGCUGGUUCUCCCCGAAAGCUAUUUAGGUAGCGCCUCGUGAAUUCAUCUCCGGGGGUAGAGCACUGUUUCGGCAAGGGGGUCAUCCCGACUUACCAACCCGAUGCAAACUGCGAAUACCGGAGAAUGUUAUCACGGGAGACACACGGCGGGUGCUAACGUCCGUCGUGAAGAGGGAAACAACCCAGACCGCCAGCUAAGGUCCCAAAGUCAUGGUUAAGUGGGAAACGAUGUGGGAAGGCCCAGACAGCCAGGAUGUUGGCUUAGAAGCAGCCAUCAUUUAAAGAAAGCGUAAUAGCUCACUGGUCGAGUCGGCCUGCGCGGAAGAUGUAACGGGGCUAAACCAUGCACCGAAGCUGCGGCAGCGACACUGUGUGUUGUUGGGUAGGGGAGCGUUCUGUAAGCCUGUGAAGGUGUGCUGUGAGGCAUGCUGGAGGUAUCAGAAGUGCGAAUGCUGACAUAAGUAACGAUAAAGCGGGUGAAAAGCCCGCUCGCCGGAAGACCAAGGGUUCCUGUCCAACGUUAAUCGGGGCAGGGUGAGUCGACCCCUAAGGCGAGGCCGAAAGGCGUAGUCGAUGGGAAACAGGUUAAUAUUCCUGUACUUGGUGUUACUGCGAAGGGGGGACGGAGAAGGCUAUGUUGGCCGGGCGACGGUUGUCCCGGUUUAAGCGUGUAGGCUGGUUUUCCAGGCAAAUCCGGAAAAUCAAGGCUGAGGCGUGAUGACGAGGCACUACGGUGCUGAAGCAACAAAUGCCCUGCUUCCAGGAAAAGCCUCUAAGCAUCAGGUAACAUCAAAUCGUACCCCAAACCGACACAGGUGGUCAGGUAGAGAAUACCAAGGCGCUUGAGAGAACUCGGGUGAAGGAACUAGGCAAAAUGGUGCCGUAACUUCGGGAGAAGGCACGCUGAUAUGUAGGUGAAGUCCCUCGCGGAUGGAGCUGAAAUCAGUCGAAGAUACCAGCUGGCUGCAACUGUUUAUUAAAAACACAGCACUGUGCAAACACGAAAGUGGACGUAUACGGUGUGACGCCUGCCCGGUGCCGGAAGGUUAAUUGAUGGGGUCAGCGCAAGCGAAGCUCUUGAUCGAAGCCCCGGUAAACGGCGGCCGUAACUAUAACGGUCCUAAGGUAGCGAAAUUCCUUGUCGGGUAAGUUCCGACCUGCACGAAUGGCGUAAUGAUGGCCAGGCUGUCUCCACCCGAGACUCAGUGAAAUUGAACUCGCUGUGAAGAUGCAGUGUACCCGCGGCAAGACGGAAAGACCCCGUGAACCUUUACUAUAGCUUGACACUGAACAUUGAGCCUUGAUGUGUAGGAUAGGUGGGAGGCUUUGAAGUGUGGACGCCAGUCUGCAUGGAGCCGACCUUGAAAUACCACCCUUUAAUGUUUGAUGUUCUAACGUGGACCCGUGAUCCGGGUUGCGGACAGUGUCUGGUGGGUAGUUUGACUGGGGCGGUCUCCUCCUAAAGAGUAACGGAGGAGCACGAAGGUUGGCUAAUCCUGGUCGGACAUCAGGAGGUUAGUGCAAUGGCAUAAGCCAGCUUGACUGCGAGCGUGACGGCGCGAGCAGGUGCGAAAGCAGGUCAUAGUGAUCCGGUGGUUCUGAAUGGAAGGGCCAUCGCUCAACGGAUAAAAGGUACUCCGGGGAUAACAGGCUGAUACCGCCCAAGAGUUCAUAUCGACGGCGGUGUUUGGCACCUCGAUGUCGGCUCAUCACAUCCUGGGGCUGAAGUAGGUCCCAAGGGUAUGGCUGUUCGCCAUUUAAAGUGGUACGCGAGCUGGGUUUAGAACGUCGUGAGACAGUUCGGUCCCUAUCUGCCGUGGGCGCUGGAGAACUGAGGGGGGCUGCUCCUAGUACGAGAGGACCGGAGUGGACGCAUCACUGGUGUUCGGGUUGUCAUGCCAAUGGCACUGCCCGGUAGCUAAAUGCGGAAGAGAUAAGUGCUGAAAGCAUCUAAGCACGAAACUUGCCCCGAGAUGAGUUCUCCCUGACCCUUUAAGGGUCCUGAAGGAACGUU